UACGGAGGGUGCAAGCGUUAUCCGGAUUCACUGGGUUUAAAGGGUGCGUAGGCGGGCAGGUAAGUCCGUGGUGUAAUCUCCAAGCUUAACUUGGAAACUGCCAUUGAUACUAUUUGUCUUGAAUACUGUGGAGGUCAGCGGAAUAUGUCAUGUAGCGGUGAAAUGCUUAGAUAUGACAUAGAACACCAAUUGCGAAGGCAGCUGGCUACACAAAUAUUGACACUGAGGCACGAAAGCGUGGGGAUCAAACAGG
RNAcentral lists this ribosomal RNA (253 nucleotides) under uncultured bacterium. Its description in RNAcentral is "partial 16S ribosomal RNA". It matches the Rfam family "Bacterial small subunit ribosomal RNA", at positions 524 to 776 of the family's 1533-position model. The record is from RNAcentral.